CCUACGGGAGGCAGCAGUGGGGGAUAUUGGGCAAUGGGCGCAAGCCUGACCCAGCAACGCCGCGUGAAGGAAGAAGGCUUUCGGGUUGUAAACUUCUUUUCUCAGGGACGAAGCAAGUGACGGUACCUGAGGAAUAAGCCACGGCUAACUACGUGCCAGCAGCCGCGGUAAGACGGAGGUGGCAAGCGUUAUCCGGAUUUACUGGGUGUAAGGGGCGUGUAGGCGGGGACGCAAGUCAGAUGUGAAACCCACGGGCUCAACCUGUGGACUGCAUUUGAAACUGUGUUUCUUGAGUACUGGAGAGGCAGACGGAAGUCCUAGUGUAGCGGUGAAAUGCGUAGAUAUUAGGAGGAACACCAGUGGCGAAGGCGGUCUGCUGGACAGCAACUGACGCUGAGGCGCGAAAGCGUGGGGAGCAAACAGGAUUAGAUACCCGGGUAGUC
This 443-nucleotide ribosomal RNA is filed under the name uncultured bacterium. Its description in RNAcentral is "partial 16S ribosomal RNA". It matches the Rfam family "Bacterial small subunit ribosomal RNA", at positions 338 to 795 of the family's 1533-position model. The record is from RNAcentral.